RNAcentral lists this transfer RNA (73 nucleotides) under Dermacentor andersoni. Its description in RNAcentral is "transfer RNA tyrosine (anticodon GUA)". It matches the Rfam family "tRNA". From Rfam's summary of the family: Transfer RNA (tRNA) molecules are approximately 80 nucleotides in length. Their secondary structure includes four short double-helical elements and three loops (D, anti-codon, and T loops). Lineage: Eukaryota; Metazoa; Arthropoda; Arachnida; Ixodida; Ixodidae. The record is from RNAcentral. RNAcentral also lists the same sequence under 1 other name.
CCGUCGAUAGCUCAGUUGGUAGAGCGGUGGACUGUAGAUCCAUAGGUCGCUGGUUCGAAUCCGGCUCGACGGG